GAUGAACGCUGGCGGCGUGCCUAAUACAUGCAAGUCAAACGCUUUGUGGUUCAACUGAUAUGAAGAGCUUGCUCAGAUAUGACGAUGGACAUUGCAAAGAGUGGCGAACGGGUGAGUAACACGUGGGAAACCUACCUCUUAGCAGGGGAUAACAUUUGGAAACAGAUGCUAAUACCGUAUAACAAUGACAACCGCAUGGUUGUUAUUUAAAAGAUGGUUCUGCUAUCACUAAGAGAUGGUCCCGCGGUGCAUUAGCUAGUUGGUAAGGUAAUGGCUUACCAAGGCGAUGAUGCAUAGCCGAGUUGAGAGACUGAUCGGCCACAAUGGGACUGAGACACGGCCCAUACUCCUACGGGAGGCAGCAGUAGGGAAUCUUCCACAAUGGGCGAAAGCCUGAUGGAGCAACGCCGCGUGUGUGAUGAAGGGUUUCGGCUCGUAAAACACUGUUGUAAGAGAAGAAUGACAUUGAGAGUAACUGUUCAAUGUGUGACGGUAUCUUACCAGAAAGGAACGGCUAAAUACGUGCCAGCAGCCGCGGUAAUACGUAUGUUCCAAGCGUUAUCCGGAUUUAUUGGGCGUAAAGCGAGCGCAGACGGUUAUUUAAGUCUGAAGUGAAAGCCCUCAGCUCAACUGAGGAAUUGCUUUGGAAACUGGAUGACUUGAGUGCAGUAGAGGAAAGUGGAACUCCAUGUGUAGCGGUGAAAUGCGUAGAUAUAUGGAAGAACACCAGUGGCGAAGGCGGCUUUCUGGACUGUAACUGACGUUGAGGCUCGAAAGUGUGGGUAGCAAACAGGAUUAGAUACCCUGGUAGUCCACACCGUAAACGAUGAGUGCUAGGUGUUUGAGGGUUUCCGCCCUUAAGUGCCGCAGCUAACGCAUUAAGCACUCCGCCUGGGGAGUACGACCGCAAGGUUGAAACUCAAAGGAAUUGACGGGGACCCGCACAAGCGGUGGAGCAUGUGGUUUAAUUCGAAGCAACGCGAAGAACCUUACCAGGUCUUGACAUCCCUUGACAACUCCAGAGAUGGAGCGUUCCCUUCGGGGACAAGGUGACAGGUGGUGCAUGGUUGUCGUCAGCUCGUGUCGUGAGAUGUUGGGUUAAGUCCCGCAACGAGCGCAACCCUUAUUACUAGUUGCCAGCAUUCAGUUGGGCACUCUAGUGAGACUGCCGGUGACAAACCGGAGGAAGGUGGGGAUGACGUCAAAUCAUCAUGCCCCUUAUGACCUGGGCUACACACGUGCUACAAUGGCGUAUACAACGAGUUGCCAACCCGCGAGGGUGAGCUAAUCUCUUAAAGUACGUCUCUGUUCGGAUCGUAGGCUGCAACUCGCCUACAUGAAGUCGGAAUCGCUAGUAAUCGCGGAUCAGCACGCCGCGGUGAAUACGUUCCCGGGUCUUGUACACACCGCCCGUCACACCAUGAGAGUUUGUAACACCCAAAGCCGGUGGGGUAACCUUCGGGAGCCAGCCGUCUAAGGUGGGACAGAUGAUUAGGGUG
This 1499-nucleotide ribosomal RNA is filed under the name Weissella minor. RNAcentral's name for it is "bacterial SSU rRNA". It matches the Rfam family "Bacterial small subunit ribosomal RNA". The record is from RNAcentral. Lineage: Bacteria; Bacillati; Bacillota; Bacilli; Lactobacillales; Lactobacillaceae.